Molecule: ribosomal RNA, 200 nt
Filed under: uncultured bacterium
Lineage: Bacteria
Description: partial 16S ribosomal RNA
Rfam family: Bacterial small subunit ribosomal RNA
Source: RNAcentral
AGUGAACGCUGGCGGCAGGCCUAAUACAUGCAAGUCGAACGGCAGCACAGCAGAGCUUGCUCUGUGGGUGGCGAGUGGCGGACGGGUGAGGAAUACAUGGGAAUCUGCCCAGUCGUGGGGGAUAACGUAGGGAAACUUACGCUAAUACCGCAUGCGCCCUUCGGGGGAAAGCCGGGGGACCUUCGGGCCUGGCGCGAUUG